CCUACGGGUGGCAGCAGUAGGGAAUAUUGCGCAAUGGGCGAAAGCCUGACGCAGCGACGCCGCGUGGGUGAUGAAGGCCUUCGGGUUGUAAAACCCUGUCCUUGGGGAAGAAGAAAGUGACGGUACCCAAGGAGGAAGCCCCGGCUAACUACGUGCCAGCAGCCGCGGUAAAACGUAGGGGGCGAGCGUUGUCCGGAAUUACUGGGCGUAAAGAGCUCGUAGGCGGCUUGGCAAGUCGGGUGUGAAAUCUCCGAGCUCAACUCGGAGGGGCCACUCGAUACUGCCAUGGCUAGAGUCCGGUAGGGGACCAUGGAAUUCCUGGUGUAGCGGUGAAAUGCGCAGAUAUCAGGAGGAACACCAGUGGCGAAGGCGGUGGUCUGGGCCGGUACUGACGCUGAGGAGCGAAAGCGUGGGGAGCGAACAGGAUUAGAUACCCCUGUAGUC
RNAcentral lists this ribosomal RNA (444 nucleotides) under uncultured bacterium. RNAcentral's name for it is "bacterial SSU rRNA". It matches the Rfam family "Bacterial small subunit ribosomal RNA", at positions 338 to 795 of the family's 1533-position model. The record is from RNAcentral.